UCAUUAGGUGAUAAAACCUAAAGGCGUAACGAAAGUAAAAAAAGCUUUGCUUUUUUAGGGAGGAUGACUAUUUAACUAUUGUUGUAGUCCGCACUCCCGGGGCGUCUAUUACUCAUUGCGAGUUUGGGCGCACCUAGAGUGUACACGUUGGUACCCGAAAGAUGGUGAACUAUGCCUGGCCAGGAUGAAGCCAGGGGAAACCCUGGUGGAGGUCCGUAGCGAUUCUGACGUGCAAAUCGAUCGUCAGAGCUAGGUAUAGGGGCGAAAGACUUAUCGAACUAUCUAGUAGCUGGUUCCCUCCGAAGUUUCCCUCAGGAUAGCUGGUGCCAAUGAUGAAACGAGUCUCAUCUGGUAAAGCGAAUGAUUAGAGGCCUUGGGGCCGAAACGACCUCAACCUAUUCUCAAACUUUAAAUAGAUGAGAUCCUUGGCUUGCUUAAAAGUGAAGCCAGGGACUUGGAUCUAGGUGCCAAGUGGGCCAAUUUUGGUAAGAAAAACUGGUGAAUACUCUG
RNAcentral lists this ribosomal RNA (510 nucleotides) under Schizoptera cf. similis SL-2016. RNAcentral's name for it is "eukaryotic LSU rRNA". It matches the Rfam family "Eukaryotic large subunit ribosomal RNA", at positions 691 to 1177 of the family's 3401-position model. The record is from RNAcentral. Lineage: Eukaryota; Metazoa; Arthropoda; Insecta; Hemiptera; Schizopteridae.